Molecule: non-coding RNA, 104 nt
Organism: Fictibacillus phosphorivorans
Lineage: Bacteria; Bacillati; Bacillota; Bacilli; Caryophanales; Fictibacillaceae
Source: Rfam
CAUACAUAAAAGCGAAUUACUCGUAUAUGCUCGGUAAUAUGGUCUGAGUGUUUCUACCCGGUUCCCAAUGAAAGAACUGGACUACGAGUUGAAGUAAAUGGCUG